Molecule: long non-coding RNA, 150 nt
Organism: Sander lucioperca (pikeperch)
Lineage: Eukaryota; Metazoa; Chordata; Actinopteri; Perciformes; Percidae
Exons: 3
Source: RefSeq, a predicted model, not a curated record
GUCACUUUUUUUCAGUGUUCUUUUAUUAUUAUUUUUUCUCCAAAUGUUAUUAAAUUGAAUAAAACACCCAAAUUCAAUAUAAGUAGUGGACUGAUCAUUUGUUGUACUUGCUAAACCCAAAUUUGUGAUAUAGAAACCUUUUGAAAAUGG